AACGUAGGUACCGAGCGUUAUCCGGAUUUACUGGGCGUAAAGCGCGUUCAGGCGGUUUGGCAAGUCGGGCGUGAAAUCUCUCGGCUCAACCGGGAGAGGUUGUCCGAUACUUCCAGACUUGAGGGCAGUAGAGGGUGGUGGAAUUCCGGGUGUAGUGGUGAAAUGCGUAGAUAUCCGGAGGAACACCAGUGGCGAAAGCGGCCACCUGGACUGCACCUGACGCUGACACGCGAAAGCUAGGGGAGCGAACGGG
Molecule: ribosomal RNA, 253 nt
Filed under: uncultured bacterium
Lineage: Bacteria
Description: partial 16S ribosomal RNA
Rfam family: Bacterial small subunit ribosomal RNA
Source: RNAcentral